Molecule: long non-coding RNA, 559 nt
Organism: Hemicordylus capensis (graceful crag lizard)
Lineage: Eukaryota; Metazoa; Chordata; Lepidosauria; Squamata; Cordylidae
Exons: 4
Source: RefSeq, a predicted model, not a curated record
UGGCAUUUCCGGCCACUCCCUGAACUGUGGAUACACAAAUUUAACCCUUUCCCCACCUCCCUCUCCCCACGUAUGCCGAGGUCGGGUGUCAGUUCCCCAACAUGAAUACACGAAACCAAGGAUGGUUUGGUUUGCUGGAUCCACAGAUAAAGGUGGUGUCCUGCAAGUAUAUAUGUGUGUGUUUCUAGCUGCUACUGGAAAUGUCUAUACCUUCCCUCGACAGAGGCAAUGGAAUUCCCACAGCCUAACACCCCAGCCCACAUCUCUCUUGGCUUGCUGUGCGCAGGAAUGCUGGCUCUUUUUAAAAGAUAUCUGGUUCCACCCUGAAGUGAGGAUCACUCGGUUUCUAGACAACAAUUUGAAUUAGCUCAAUGGGUGUGAGAGGCUUUGUACAUGUAUUAUAUCUGUAUGCAAAAUCCUCUCAAGUUUGUAUCCGUUGGAAUUCGAUACUAUACUUAAGGACCAGCAUCUCAUAGUUGGGAUCUCUGUCAUCGGUUCUCUGUCAGUUUUCUGUCGUCGGUUCUCCAACAGCUACCACUUUUAUCUUGUAAAUUUCUGU